Molecule: long non-coding RNA, 257 nt
Filed under: Elaeis guineensis (African oil palm)
Lineage: Eukaryota; Viridiplantae; Streptophyta; Magnoliopsida; Arecales; Arecaceae
Description: long non-coding RNA (EGUI_LNC076090)
Source: RNAcentral
CCGAUAGUUGUCACGUCAGCUCGCCUUUCAGUUAUCCUUCUCCCUCAACCUUAAUGGCUCUAUAAUGUAUAUUGAAUGAAUAAUAUGAGAAGGGAAUUUUCUGCUACCUCUUAUACUCACAUGUUGAAUUGUCACUUGUCGAGCUUCUUUUCGGCCUUCGCAUCGUUCGGAGGUACCCGAUUGGCAUCGUAUCGAUCAUCCUUUUCGUUCGCGAUCGCAGAUUUGUCUAGGACCGCUUGGGUUUGGUGCCCCCCACC